Molecule: ribosomal RNA, 445 nt
Filed under: uncultured bacterium
Lineage: Bacteria
Description: bacterial SSU rRNA
Rfam family: Bacterial small subunit ribosomal RNA
Source: RNAcentral
GUAGGGAAUAUUGGGCAAUGGAUGCAAGUCUGACCCAGCCAUCCCGCGUGCCGGAAGAAGGCCCUCAGGGUUGUAAACGGCUUUUGACGGUGAAGAAUCGACAGGAUGCGUCCUGUUUUGACGGUAGCCGUUGAAUAAGCACCGGCUAACUCUGUGCCAGCAGCCGCGGUAAUACAGAGGGUGCGAGCGUUAAUCGGAAUGACUGGGCGUAAAGGGUGCGUAGGCGGGUUUUCAAGUUUACUGUGAAAUUUCUGGGGUUAACCUAGGAGUGGCAGUAAAGACUGAAGAACUUGAGUCGGCGAGAGGAGCGUAGAAUUUCCGGUGUAGCGGUGAAAUGCGUAGAUAUCGGAAGGAAUACCAGAGGCGAAAGCGACGCUCUGGAGCCAGACUGACGCUGAGGCACGAAAGCGUGGGGAGCAAACAGGAUUAGAAACCCGUGUAGUCC